UAGAACAAAGUCCACGCCUCAGGUCC
RNAcentral lists this non-coding RNA (26 nucleotides) under Homo sapiens (human). Lineage: Eukaryota; Metazoa; Chordata; Mammalia; Primates; Hominidae. The record is from RNAcentral.